AUACGUAGGUGGCAAGCGUUGUCCGGAAUUAUUGGGCGUAAAGCGCGCGCAGGCGGUCCUUUAAGUCUGAUGUGAAAGCCCACGGCUCAACCGUGGAGGGUCAUUGGAAACUGGGGGACUUGAGUGCAGAAGAGGAAAGUGGAAUUCCAAGUGUAGCGGUGAAAUGCGUAGAGAUUUGGAGGAACACCAGUGGCGAGGCGGUUUUCGGGGCUGUAACUGACGUGGAGGCGCGAAAGCGUGGGGAGAAAACAGGAUUAGAUACCCUGGUUGUCCACGCCGUAAACGAUGAGUGCUAAGUGUUAGGGGGUUUCCGCCCCUUAGUGCUGCAGCUAACGCAUUAAGCACUCCGCCUGGGGAGUACGGUCGCAAGACUGAAACUCAAAUGAAUUGGCGGGG
Molecule: ribosomal RNA, 396 nt
Filed under: uncultured bacterium
Lineage: Bacteria
Description: partial 16S ribosomal RNA
Rfam family: Bacterial small subunit ribosomal RNA
Source: RNAcentral